UGGGGAAUUUUGGACAAUUGGGCGAAAGCCUGAUCCAGCAAUGCCGCGUGUGUGAAGAAGGCCUUCGGGUUGUAAAGCACUUUUGUCCGGAAAGAAAUCCUUGGCUCUAAUACAGUCGGGGGAUGACGGUACCGGAAGAAUAAGCACCGGCUAACUACGUGCCAGCAGCCGCGGUAAUACGUAGGGUGCAAGCGUUAAUCGGAAUUACUGGGCGUAAAGCGUGCGCAGGCGGUUUGCUAAGACCGAUGUGAAAUCCCCGGGCUCAACCUGGGAACUGCAUUGGUGACUGGCAGGCUAGAGUAUGGCAGAGGGGGGUAGAAUUCCACGUGUAGCAGUGAAAUGCGUAGAGAUGUGGAGGAAUACCGAUGGCGAAGGCAGCCCCCUGGGCCAAUACUGACGCUCAUGCACGAAAGGCGUGGGGAGCAAAACAGGAUUAGAUACCCUGGUAGUCCACGCCCUAAACGAUGUCAACUAGUUGUUGGGGAUUCAUUUCCUUAGUAACGUAGCUAACGCGUGAAGUUGACCGCCUGGGGAGUACGGUCGCAAGAUUAAAACUCAAA
Molecule: ribosomal RNA, 560 nt
Filed under: uncultured bacterium
Lineage: Bacteria
Description: partial 16S ribosomal RNA
Rfam family: Bacterial small subunit ribosomal RNA
Source: RNAcentral